AAACCGUUACCAUUACUGACUUUAGUAAUGGUAACGGUUCUG
This 42-nucleotide microRNA precursor is filed under the name Microcaecilia unicolor. RNAcentral's name for it is "Mun-Mir-451_pre stem-loop". Lineage: Eukaryota; Metazoa; Chordata; Amphibia; Gymnophiona; Siphonopidae. The record is from RNAcentral.